This 271-nucleotide ribosomal RNA is filed under the name uncultured bacterium. RNAcentral's name for it is "partial 16S ribosomal RNA". It matches the Rfam family "Bacterial small subunit ribosomal RNA", at positions 524 to 794 of the family's 1533-position model. The record is from RNAcentral.
UACAGAGGGUGCAAGCGUUAAUCGGAAUUACUGGGCGUAAAGCGCACGUAGGCGGUUUUUUAAGUCAGAUGUGAAAUCCCAGGGCUCAACCCUGGAACUGCCUUCUAAACUGCAAGCCUGGAGGUCAGGAGAGGCGAGUGGAAUACCGAGUGUAGAGGUGAAAUUCGUAGAUAUUCGGUGGAACACCAGUGGCGAAGGCGACUCGCUGGACUGAUACUGACGCUGAGGUGCGAAAGCGUGGGGAGCAAACAGGAUUAGAAACCCGAGUAGU